CAGCAGCCACGGUAAUACGUAGGGUGCAAGCGUUGUCCGGAAUUAUUGGGCGUAAAGAGCUCGUAGGCGGUUUGUCGCGUCUGCUGUGAAAACUGGAGGCUCAACCUCCAGCCUGCAGUGGGUACGGGCAGACUAGAGUGCGGUAGGGGAGAUUGGAAUUCCUGGUGUAGCGGUGGAAUGCGCAGAUAUCAGGAGGAACACCGAUGGCGAAGGCAGAUCUCUGGGCCGUAACUGACGCUGAGGAGCGAAAGCGUGGGGAGCGAACAGGAUUAGAUACCCCAGUAGUCCCUGUCUCUUAUAC
Molecule: ribosomal RNA, 301 nt
Filed under: uncultured bacterium
Lineage: Bacteria
Description: partial 16S ribosomal RNA
Rfam family: Bacterial small subunit ribosomal RNA
Source: RNAcentral